RNAcentral lists this ribosomal RNA (253 nucleotides) under uncultured bacterium. Its description in RNAcentral is "partial 16S ribosomal RNA". It matches the Rfam family "Bacterial small subunit ribosomal RNA", at positions 524 to 776 of the family's 1533-position model. The record is from RNAcentral.
UACGAAGGGGGCGAGCGUUGUUCGGAAUUACUGGGCGUAAAGGGCGCGUAGGCGGCCGAUCAAGUCAGAUGUGAAAGUCCUGGGCUUAACCUGGGGACUGCAUUUGAUACUGAUUGGCUUGAAUUCGGGAGAGGAUAGCGGAAUUCCCAGUGUAGAGGUGAAAUGCGCAGAUAUCAGGAGGAACACCAAUUGCGAAGGCAGCUCGCUGGGACGUUACUGACGCUGAGACGCGAAAGCGUGGGGAGCAAACAGG